This 67-nucleotide transfer RNA is filed under the name Crocidura gueldenstaedtii (Guldenstadt's white-toothed shrew). RNAcentral describes it as "Crocidura suaveolens gueldenstaedtii tRNA-Val". It matches the Rfam family "tRNA". From Rfam's summary of the family: Transfer RNA (tRNA) molecules are approximately 80 nucleotides in length. Their secondary structure includes four short double-helical elements and three loops (D, anti-codon, and T loops). The record is from RNAcentral. Lineage: Eukaryota; Metazoa; Chordata; Mammalia; Eulipotyphla; Soricidae. RNAcentral also lists the same sequence under 1 other name.
CAAAAUGUAGCUUAAUUAAAGCACCUGACUUACACUCAGGAGAUUUCAUACUAUAUGACCAUUUUGA